Non-coding RNA from Pimephales promelas (fathead minnow), 564 nucleotides. NCBI's taxonomy places the organism in Eukaryota, Metazoa, Chordata, Actinopteri, Cypriniformes, Leuciscidae. The record is from RefSeq and is a predicted model, not a curated record.
GCGGAGGGUUUUCCUUACGACCGGAUGAACGGCACAGGCUGUUUCUCUCUUACGGUUGACGUGUUUGCUCUUCGAAUGUAGCAUUGAAAAACAAUGACGCGAGAGACGCGUCUCGUGAAUGUCACUCGGGAGGGAACAGAUACACACGGCCAACCCGUACCCGGUCGAGCCUCGGUGGAAGCGUGCCGCGAUCCGUUCGAAUCCAUUCUGCGUGGUGAUUGGAGCAGACCGUGCCUGACUGAAAGCGCAAAGACGAAUGCCACGGGCUGUUGCGGUUGACGCGUCAUUGUUUUUCAACGGCAAAAUUGAAGAGCGAACGCAAGAGACGCGUCUCGUGGAUGUUACUCGGGAGGGAACAGAUACACGCGGCCAACCCGUACCCGGUCGAGCCUCGGUGGAAGCGUGCCGCGAUCCGUUCGAAUCCAUUCUGCUUGGUGAUUUGAGCAGACCGCGCCUGACUGAAAGCGCAAAGACGAAUGCCACGGGCUGUCGCGGUUGACGCGUCAUUGUUUUUCAACGGCAAAAUUGAAGAGCGAACGCGAGAGACGCGUCUCGUGGAUGUUA